RNAcentral lists this ribosomal RNA (435 nucleotides) under uncultured bacterium. RNAcentral describes it as "partial 16S ribosomal RNA". It matches the Rfam family "Bacterial small subunit ribosomal RNA", at positions 29 to 507 of the family's 1533-position model. The record is from RNAcentral.
AGCGAACGCUGGCGGCAGGCUUAACACAUGCAAGUCGAACGGGCUUCUUCGGAAGUCAGUGGCAGACGGGUGAGUAACACGUGGGAACGUGCCCUUCGGUUCGGAAUAACUCAGGGAAACUUGAGCUAAUACCGGAUACGCCCUUCUGGGGAAAGGUUUACUGCCGAAGGAUCGGCCCGCGUCUGAUUAGCUUGUUGGUGGGGUAACGGCCUACCAAGGCGACGAUCAGUAGCUGGUCUGAGAGGAUGAUCAGCCACACUGGGACUGAGACACGGCCCAGACUCCUACGGGAGGCAGCAGUGGGGAAUAUUGGACAAUGGGCGCAAGCCUGAUCCAGCCAUGCCGCGUGAGUGAUGAAGGCCUUAGGGUUGUAAAGCUCUUUUGUCCGGGACGAUAAUGACGGUACCGGAAGAAUAAGCCCCGGCUAACUUCGUG